UACGGAAGGGGCAAGCGUUGUUCGGAAUCAUUGGGCGUAAAGGGCGCGUAGGCGGUUCUGUAUGUCUACCGUGAAAGCGUACGGCUCAACCGUAUUUUGUCGGUGGAAACUGCAGGACUUGAGGCUGGGAGGGGCUGGUGGAAUUCCCUGUGUAGCGGUGAAAUGCGUAGAUAUCGGGAGGAAAACCAGUGGCGAAGGCGACUACCUGGCCUGUUUCUUGACGCUGAGGCGCGAAAGCUAGGGGAGCAAACGGG
This 254-nucleotide ribosomal RNA is filed under the name uncultured bacterium. Its description in RNAcentral is "partial 16S ribosomal RNA". It matches the Rfam family "Bacterial small subunit ribosomal RNA", at positions 524 to 776 of the family's 1533-position model. The record is from RNAcentral.